RNAcentral lists this small nuclear RNA (131 nucleotides) under Zalophus californianus (California sea lion). RNAcentral describes it as "U4 spliceosomal RNA (ENSZCAG00015017307.1)". It matches the Rfam family "U4 spliceosomal RNA". From Rfam's summary of the family: U4 small nuclear RNA (U4 snRNA) is a component of the major U2-dependent spliceosome. The structure of U4 snRNA from yeast and human has been reported. Lineage: Eukaryota; Metazoa; Chordata; Mammalia; Carnivora; Otariidae. The record is from RNAcentral.
AGCUUUGCACAGUGGCAGUAUCAUAGCCAAUGAGGUUUAUCCAAGGUGUGAUUAUUGCUAAUAUAAACUCCUACGAUAGAAGAAAGUAACUCCAAAGCUAUAGAUUAGGGUUUAAUUAGGUUGUAUCCAAA